Molecule: ribosomal RNA, 431 nt
Filed under: uncultured bacterium
Lineage: Bacteria
Description: partial 16S ribosomal RNA
Rfam family: Bacterial small subunit ribosomal RNA
Source: RNAcentral
AACGAACGCUGGCGGCAGGCUUAACACAUGCAAGUCGAGCGCCCCGCAAGGGGGACGGCAGUCGGGUGGGUAGCGCGUGGGGACGUACCCUUAUCUUCGUGAUAGCUCCGUUAUACUGGAAUUAAUACCUAAUGUGCCCUUUGGGGGUAAGAUUUAUCGGGUAAGGAUCGGCGCGCGUUGGAUUAGCUAGUUGGUGGGGUGAAGGCGUACCAAGGCGACGAUCCAUAUCUGGGCUGAGAGGCGGAUCAGCGACAUUGGGACUGAGAAACGGGCCAAAAUCCUAGGGAAGGCAGCAGUGGGGAAUAUUGGACAAUGGGCGCAAGCAUGAUCCAGCCAUGCCGCGUGAGUGCUGAAGGCCUUAGGGUAGUAAAGCUCUUUAACCGGAGAAGAUAAUGACGGUAUCCGGAGAAGAAGCCCCGGCUAACUUCGUG